GGUUCGAUGGCAGAGUGGUAGUGCAUCCGCGUCUUUUAUGCUGCAAGUCAAACGGUUUCUGCGGAGGUCGCCUGUUCGAACCAGGCUCGAGCCA
Molecule: non-coding RNA, 94 nt
Organism: Mycena leptocephala
Lineage: Eukaryota; Fungi; Basidiomycota; Agaricomycetes; Agaricales; Mycenaceae
Source: the annotation of a GenBank genome assembly